AACGAACGCUGGCGGCAGGCCUAACACAUGCAAGUCGAGCGAGGACUUCGGUCCUAGCGGCGGACGGGUGAGUAACGCGUGGGAACGUGCCCUUUGCUGCGGAAUAGCCCUGGGAAACUGGGAGUAAUACCGGAUGAGCCCUUUGGGGGAAAGAUUUAUCGGCGAAGGAUCGGCCCGCGUUGGAUUAGGUAGUUGGUGGGGUAAUGGCCUACCAAGCCGACGAUCCAUAGCUGGUCUGAGAGGAUGAUCAGCCACACUGGGACUGAGACACGGCCCAGACUCCUACGGGAGGCAGCAGUGGGGAAUCUUAGACAAUGGGGGAAACCCUGAUCGAGCCAUGCCGCGUGAGCGAUGAAGGCCUUAGGGUUGUAAAGCUCUUUCAGCUGGGAAGAUAAUGACGGUACCAGCAGAAGAAGCCCCGGCUAACUCCGUG
This 433-nucleotide ribosomal RNA is filed under the name uncultured bacterium. RNAcentral describes it as "partial 16S ribosomal RNA". It matches the Rfam family "Bacterial small subunit ribosomal RNA", at positions 29 to 507 of the family's 1533-position model. The record is from RNAcentral.